RNAcentral lists this ribosomal RNA (434 nucleotides) under uncultured Pedobacter sp. Its description in RNAcentral is "bacterial SSU rRNA". It matches the Rfam family "Bacterial small subunit ribosomal RNA", at positions 358 to 790 of the family's 1533-position model. The record is from RNAcentral. Lineage: Bacteria; Pseudomonadati; Bacteroidota; Sphingobacteriia; Sphingobacteriales; Sphingobacteriaceae.
GGAAUAUUGGUCAAUGGGGGCAACCCUGAACCAGCCAUGCCGCGUGCAGGAAGACUGCCCUAUGGGUUGUAAACUGCUUUUAUGGGGAAUAAACCUCAUUACGUGUAAUGAGCUGAACGUACCAGAAGAAUAAGGAUCGGCUAACUCCGUGCCAGCAGCCGCGGUAAUACGGAGGAUCCAAGCGUUAUCCGGAUUUAUUGGGUUUAAAGGGUGCGUAGGCGGCCAAUUAAGUCAGAGGUGAAAGACGGUAGCUCAACUAUCGCAGUGCCUUUGAUACUGAUUGGCUUGAAUGAACUAGAGGUAGGCGGAAUGAGACAAGUAGCGGUGAAAUGCAUAGAUAUGUCUCAGAACACCGAUUGCGAAGGCAGCUUACUAUGGUUCUAUUGACGCUGAGGCACGAAAGCGUGGGGAUCAAACAGGAUUAGAUACCCGAG